UUUCCGUAGGUGAACCUGCGGAAGGAUCAUUAUCGAGUUAGGGUCCUCGAGGCCCGAUCUCCAACCCUGUGUUUACCUAACCACGUUGCUUUGGCGGGCCCGUCUCACGACCGCCGGGGGGUGAAUCACCCCCUGGCCCGCGCCCGCCGAUGGCCCCCAAUUCAAACUCUGUAUAACGGUGUUGUCUGAGUACCUAAAACAGAAUAAAACAAAACUUUCAACAACGGAUCUCUUGGUUCUGGCAUCGAUGAAGAACGCAGC
Molecule: unclassified non-coding RNA, 261 nt
Filed under: uncultured fungus
Lineage: Eukaryota; Fungi
Description: sequence contains ITS1, 5.8S rRNA gene
Rfam family: 5.8S ribosomal RNA (bases 213-261)
Source: RNAcentral